AUUGAACGCUGGCGGAAUGCUUUACACAUGCAAGUCGAGCGGCAGCGCGGGGGCAACCCUGGCGGCGAGCGGCGAACGGGUGAGUAAUGUAUCGGAACGUACCCAGUCGUGGGGGAUAACUAUCCGAAAGGAUAGCUAAUACCGCAUACGACCUGAGGGUGAAAGCGGGGGACCGUAAGGCCUCGCGCGAUUGGAGCGGCCGAUAUCGGAUUAGCUAGUUGGUGAGGUAAAGGCUCACCAAGGCGACGAUCCGUAGCUGGUCUGAGAGGACGACCAGCCACACUGGAACUGAGACACGGUCCAGACUCCUACGGGAGGCAGCAGUGGGGAAUUUUGGACAAUGGGGGCAACCCUGAUCCAGCCAUUCCGCGUGAGUG
Molecule: ribosomal RNA, 377 nt
Filed under: uncultured bacterium
Lineage: Bacteria
Description: bacterial SSU rRNA
Rfam family: Bacterial small subunit ribosomal RNA
Source: RNAcentral